Molecule: small RNA, 125 nt
Filed under: Marmota monax (woodchuck)
Lineage: Eukaryota; Metazoa; Chordata; Mammalia; Rodentia; Sciuridae
Source: RNAcentral
GCUGGGUGCGGUGGCGUGUGUUUGUAAUCCCAGCGGCUCUGGAGGCUGAGACUGGAGGAUUAUGAGUUCAAAGCCAGCCUCAGCAAUGGUGAGGUGCUAAGCAACUCAGUGAGACCCUGUCUCUA